Molecule: non-coding RNA, 174 nt
Filed under: Fusarium oxysporum f. sp. cubense race 1
Lineage: Eukaryota; Fungi; Ascomycota; Sordariomycetes; Hypocreales; Nectriaceae
Description: Eukaryotic small subunit ribosomal RNA
Rfam family: Eukaryotic small subunit ribosomal RNA
Source: Rfam by way of RNAcentral
GAGGUCAAUUUGGAUUAAGGGCAAAGGCAUCAAUUCGCUGCUGCUCCGCCGAGUGUUUCAUUGUCCGAGAGGUCCGAGUAAUCUUGUUAAACUCCGUCGUGCUGUGGAUAGAGUAUUUCAACUAUUGCUCUUCAACGAGCAAUCCCUAGUAAGCGCAAGUCGUCAGCUUGUGUU